GGUAACCACUGGACUUCUAAAAGGCACAUCACUGCGAUCAGUAACGUUCCAAGAUGUGGCCAUCAACUUUUCCCAAGAAGAAUGGCGAUUCCUGAACCCUGCUCAGAGAAAAUUGUACACGGCGGUGAUGUCGGAGAAUUAUCAGAACCUGGUCUGGCUGGAGAGUGAAUCA
Lontra canadensis (Northern American river otter) is the source of this 172-nucleotide long non-coding RNA. RefSeq lists it as uncharacterized. The record is from RefSeq and is a predicted model, not a curated record. The transcript has 3 exons. NCBI's taxonomy places the organism in Eukaryota, Metazoa, Chordata, Mammalia, Carnivora, Mustelidae.